GAUGAACGCUGGCUACAGGCUUAACACAUGCAAGUCGAGGGGAAACGACGGGGAAGCUUGCUUCCCCGGGCGUCGACCGGCGCACGGGUGAGUAACGCGUAUCCAACCUGCCUCUGACUGAGGGAUAACCCGUCGAAAGUCGGCCUAAUACCUCAUGGCAUCGUCUGCGGGCAUCCAACGACGAUUAAAGAUUUCAUCGGUCAGGGAUGGGGAUGCGUCUGAUUAGCUUGUUGGCGGGGUAACGGCCCACCAAGGCUACGAUCAGUAGGGGUUCUGAGAGGAAGGUCCCCCACAUUGGAACUGAGACACGGUCCAAACUCAUACGGGAGGCAGCAGUGAGGAAUAUUGGUCAAUGGGCGGGAGCCUGAACCAGCCAAGUAGCGUGCAGGAUGACGGCCCUAUGGGUUGUAAACUGCUUUUAUGCGGGGAUAAAGUGAGGGACGUGUCCUUCAUUGCAGGUACCGCAUGAAUAAGGACCGGCUAAUUCCGUG
RNAcentral lists this ribosomal RNA (491 nucleotides) under uncultured bacterium. RNAcentral's name for it is "partial 16S ribosomal RNA". It matches the Rfam family "Bacterial small subunit ribosomal RNA", at positions 28 to 507 of the family's 1533-position model. The record is from RNAcentral.